UACAGAGGGUGCAAGCGUUGUUCGGAAUUACUGGGCGUAAAGGGCGCGUAGGCGGCUCAUGAAGGCUGUGGUGAAAGUCCGGGGCUCAACCUCGGAUCGGCCGUGGCGACUCGUGGGCUGGAGCACUGUAGAGGCGGGUGGAAUUCCGGGUGUAGCGGUGGAAUGCGUAGAGAUCCGGAAGAACACCAGUGGCGAAGGCGGCCCGCUGGGCAGUGGCUGACGCUGAGGCGCGACAGCGUGGGGAGCAAACAGG
RNAcentral lists this ribosomal RNA (253 nucleotides) under uncultured bacterium. RNAcentral describes it as "partial 16S ribosomal RNA". It matches the Rfam family "Bacterial small subunit ribosomal RNA", at positions 524 to 776 of the family's 1533-position model. The record is from RNAcentral.